AAUGGUUACAUUUUAUUUUAUGUAAAUUAUUACUUAAUAAAGUUGAUUGGAAAGAAAUAUAGGGAAUUUUGAAACCGAUUGAAACUCAGACUUUAGUGGAGGUGCACUAAUUUCCUGGUACUAGUCUCACCAAGGUGGCAGGGUGAGGCUGGUUCUACCUGUUGGAAAAAAAACCCGAACUGCAUUCAGCUGCUGUUCUAGGAAAGAACUGCUGGGAAAGAAGCUUUUUUAAGGUGCUGUUCACCUAGGAAUGGAGAAGAGACAGGAUGUCAACAGGAAGCAAACAAAAAUGAGCAAUUCCUUUCCUCCUCUUCAGGCCUUGUAUUCUCCCUCUAGUGUGCCCCAGAGCAGAAGUGGGUUGCGUAGUCUUGAUUCCAGCGUCAUGUAGUGACUAUAGCAUCACAGGUUUGGAGGUGAGAAACAAUGGCUUAAUAGCUGGCACCCCUAAUAUGCGCCAAACAGUGUACUAAGCCUUGCAGGUUGGACAAAGAUGGAGAGGCUAGUGUUUGCCUUCAAGGAGCUUACAGCAUCACAGGGCAUAUAAAUCUCUGUGUCAAUAGCUGUAACCAAAGUUACAGUGAGAUAUUGCUAUUCUGGGAUUGUGGAAACAAAGUGCUGUGGGUGUCCAGAAGGAUCAUGAGUCAUUUUCAGAUGGGGAUUUGGAGAGAGUUCUUUAGGACAAGUGGUGUGUCAACUGGGGUGGGAAAGUUGGAUAAAAUUAUGACUGUUAGAAGUCAGGUGACAGUGGAGUUGAUGGUGAGGAUGGUAAUGGGUAUAGCAGGAAGAGCAUUCUACCCUGGCUGGUAAAGUUCAUGUUAUUUAAUUCGAACUUAGGAUAUUAGAAGAGCAGCCCAGAGGAAUUGAGAUGAGUUGAGGCCAGAUCAUGGGGAGUCAGUCAUAAAUACCAUGCUGAGAAAUUUAGGCUUUUUUUGUACAGGCAGUGGUGUGAAGUCAAAGCCUUCUAACUUGAACCAUAAAAAUUAUUGUUUUAUCAUUUAAACUAGUGAUUUUAAAACCUGAGUGUUUAUCAAGCUCAGUUGGGGCAACUUCUGGAACUUUCAUACACUCAGGUACUAUUCCAGACUUUCCUGAAUCAGAUUGAUAAUCAGCUCAAACUCCAUUUUUCUCACGGAGUACUUUCUUGAUCACUGUACUGAAAGUGGCUCCCCAGUUAUUCUAUAUCACAUUUUAUUAUUUUAUUUGCAUAGCAUCACUUAAUCGUCAUUUGUACUGAUCUUGUUUACUUAUUUGAUGACUUGUUUUUGUUUGUUUCUCCCAAGUAAAACACACGUUCCGUGUAGGGAGGGACAUGGUUGUCUUCCUCACUGCUGAAACCAUGGUGCCUGCAGUGGUGCUGGACACAUGACAGACCAUCAGAAUAAUAUUUUUGGGACUGCACUGUGCAGUGGAAAGAACAGUCAUUCCGGAGCCACGCAGCCUGGGGUUGGAAACGUGCUCCGUUACAUUCCAACUGAAUGAAUGUGGAUGCUUCAAAAGAAAAUGAAUUCCACUGUGAGACGGGCAAGAGGGUAAUUAAAACCCAUGAAGUUGAAGACACCAGAAGUUGAGCAACUAAAGUGGGCCAGGUGUGUUUAAUUAAGUGGUUAUUUCUUGUUCGGUGAUAAGUCCUUAUGUUAGCAACAUCACAUUGUGUGUACAAAAAAAUUUCGGUUCGCAGAUUAAUUCAGUCAUCAAAGAUACUCCAAGUGAGUGUUACGAUUUGUAAUAUGGAUUUCAAAGCUGCAGUCUGUUGAUGUUCAGACAGUUUAAGAGGAUUUGCUCAAUAAGCAGAGAUUUGUCUUGCAACAAGACUGUCUGGGCCACCUACAGAAGAAAGCAAGUUACACUCCUCAGAUUUGCCUUUGAAGAAUUCUAGCAACUGGCUGUCUCACACCUACCCUUGCACAUGCGUUGCUGGUUUCGUUCAGCUACAUGAUCCCUUUGCUGUAACUAGGAUGGUCUCCUCACCACCACCGGCACCAGUCUGCCUGAUUCUGGUCAGUGUAUCUUGGCUGAUGGUUUUUCUC
Molecule: long non-coding RNA, 2027 nt
Filed under: Homo sapiens (human)
Lineage: Eukaryota; Metazoa; Chordata; Mammalia; Primates; Hominidae
Description: HSALNT0318546
Source: RNAcentral